This is a non-coding RNA of Pseudonaja textilis, 2105 nucleotides long. Lineage: Eukaryota; Metazoa; Chordata; Lepidosauria; Squamata; Elapidae. The record is from RefSeq and is a predicted model, not a curated record.
UGCAUGUGAGUGUGCUGGUUUUUGUUUCUAGUGUUCCUGGAAAAAAAAUCGGUCACAUAGUAAGAAAUUUGUCUAGUCUGAUGUCUUAGAGACUUUAGAGGGGGGAAAAGAUCAGAAUAUGCUCCCUUAUGGAUGCCCCGUCAUUUUCCUGGAAUAGAAAAGCUGUUCUCUCCCAGGUUUUGGAAAAGAUCCAGGGGUACAGCUGGGGCAGCUGUCGGGGCGUGGAGGGAACCAAGAAUCUGCUGGGACAGCACGUAAAGAUCAAUGCUAUGCCUCUCUGGGACACAUGAGUAGGAAAGGUAACAGCUUCUCCUUAACAUAUCCCAGUUACAGGACUGUGUAAUACUCAGAGCUAAGUAGCAUCAGUGGCUCGGUAACAAAGGGUUAACUAGUCUUCUCCCCCCCCCACACACACACAAAAAAAAAAAACUCCUGAAGUUUGACAUUCCCCAGCAAGGAGGAAUUUUCCAGGCCUAAAUUCAUCUCCUACCAGCAACAGCCCCUUUUUCCAAGUUUGGAAAAUACUGGAAGACUGGAAAUUGCAACAGCAUGAAAGAGAAAGCAGAAUCGAACAAGGAAGACGGGAAAGGUGACACCAUGUCUGUGAUAUACAGCGAGGUGGCUGCCGAUGAGCCAACUACCAAUAGCUUCUGGAUGCCCAAUCACUACCAGAACACAGUCAAACGUCUGGAUGAUGGGUAUCGUGUCUGUGACCAGAUUGUAGCCUGUUUCCAGGAACGGGCAAAGAUUGAACGUAACUAUGCUCUGAUGAUGGAUGAAUGGACUCGCAAAUGGCGGCCCCUUGUUGAUGCAGGCCCGGCAUAUGGUACCCUACUCCAUGCAUGGCAAGCUUUCCUGGGGGCUUCUGAGCGGUUAAGCCGCAUACACAUGGAAAUGCAAAGGGCUUUGGUUUCUGAGGAUGCUGGACGUAUCCGAUCCUGGCAGCACGACUCCUAUCACCGCAAGCUCUUUGGGGGCUUCAAGGAGGCUUGCGAGCUAGAAAAUGGUUUCCAGCGGGCUCAGAAACCCUGGACUAAGAAGCUCAAGAAGGCAGAGAAGGCCAAAACUCUUUAUCAUAAGGCCUGCCGCAAAGAGUACAUUGCAACACUGCGGGAGAGAGGAAUUCAGGUAACAUCUGGGGCUGAAGUAUCUCCAGAGCGGCAACGUACUUUGCGUGAAGAACAUCAACGUUGUAGACAAGAAACCAGCAAGGUCCGUGAACGUUACGAGAAGGCCCUGCAAGAGCUCGACCGUUGCAGCCCUCGCUACAUAGAAGAAAUGGAGUGUGUGUUUGAGCAGGGGCAAGCUCUGGAGCAGAGACGGAUUGUCUUUCUCAAAAGUGCCUUCCUCGCCCUGCAUCAGCGUCUGGAUAUGACUGCAGAUUCCAGCGUCCGAGCUGUUUAUAGUGACUUGCAUCAGGCCAUUGAGGAGAUAAAUGACCAAGAGGAUCUUAAAUGGUGGCGUAACCGAAAUGGUCCAGGAAUGCCCAUGAACUGGCCAAAAUUUGAGGACUGGAGUCCUGAUCAUGAGGGGCCACAAAUGAAAAUCAAGAAAAGUAAAGAACAAGAGAAAGUGAUACCUUGCAGCAUUUCCCCUAUCCAGAGCUGGAGAGCUUCUAACCAAAUUGGAAGAUGAGGAUGAACAAGGCUGGUGCAAAGGAGUGACUGACAGUGGACAUGUGGGCCUCUAUCCUGCCAACUACGUGGAACCCAUACAGGAGAUUGAAAGCACCUUGCCCUGAAGGGCUGGUCACACUUCACAAGAAGCACAACAAGAAAGAUGUCUCACAAUCCCACAAAUUCUCUUUAGUCAUAUCUUAAUCCAAAGAUCUGCCAGAUGUGAGAUGGAUGGCAAGUUAGUGAAGUAUGGGAAAUUUGUAGGACCCAACCAUACCAUUGUUUCAACACAUCCCUGGAUGACUGAUAUUUGAGGAAGAAAAGUUUUCAGAGGCAACUGCACUCCACCUAUAGAAGUAUACUCCAUCCAUCAAAGUGUGAAAACAAGGCUGAGAUAACUAAGUUGAAUUUGUGAACAUCUGUGGAUUUUGUUUAAAUGGUACUUUAGCACUUGUGGAUUUUGGAAAAUAAAUAAAUAAGUGAGGUGGC